Molecule: non-coding RNA, 214 nt
Filed under: Clostridium perfringens
Lineage: Bacteria; Bacillati; Bacillota; Clostridia; Eubacteriales; Clostridiaceae
Description: T-box sequence
Rfam family: T-box leader
About the family: Uncharged tRNA acts as the effector for transcription antitermination of genes in the T-box leader family. T-boxes are found upstream of many aminoacyl-tRNA synthetase genes and some amino acid biosynthetic genes usually in Gram-positive bacteria.
Source: RNAcentral
AUACAAACAGUGAUAAAGAGGAGUAAAGAUAGGAAGAACUUUAAGAGAGGAAAUCCUUGGGUGUAAGAUUUCUAAGUUUGAUAUCUUGAAGGUAGCUUUUGAGUUUCUUUGGUGAAAGUAUUAAAGUAAUCAAAGACGGCAAUUUCAGUCGUUAAUUUUAGAGAGCCCUUUUGGUGAGGGAAAAAAGGUGGUACCGCGAGUUUUCGUCCUUUUA